UUCGUGCGGCAUUGCUACCGUGACGGAACUCCUAUUCCGUAAUUACUCGUAUUUUUAUCGUGUCCAUAUUGAGGUAAAAGAUACAAAUAUAGUAAUCAAUAAACAAGUGACUGAAUAUGAAAAUAAUAUUACAUAUUUUUUAAAUAAAUUUGAUUUAAAUUUCAAAUUUAUUACCAGCCAUACAUAAAUUACGUUUUAAAUGACCUGUAUUAUAAAACGGCAAAUUCAUAGCAGGCACCAAGUCCAACAUCACGACUGUUUGCCGUUCUCAUUGUGAACAAAAGCGCCGGCACGGUGAGACUUCGUACGCAGAACCAGCGAAGGGGGACACAAAACCAACAUCCUUCGCAUCACCUCACGUAUUUAUAACCCCACAUUGGCUUCCGGCUUUUUGUUGAUUUCUACUAAAAGUACUUUUGUAAAGCUUUACCCAAACUAUUUUAAAGUUUCAUAAAUCGUUUUUUUUUGUGAUUAUAUUAGUAUUUGUAGUAGAUAAUUUAAGUCUGCUAAUGAAAAUAAAAGUUCGUAGUUAGUUUCUGGUCCAAUCACUAAAUUAAAGACAGCAUACCUUUUUGAGAAAUAAUUAAUGAAUUUUGUAAAAAAUUCACAAAAAGAACAAAUAUACUUCCAACACUAAAAUUUACAGAAUCGAGAACGACGAAUUUUUUGUUGUGAGAAAUAAUAUUUUCAUUAUUAUUGUUAUAUACAUGAUACACGUCGUAAGCUAAACAGUAACAAAAACAAAUAAAAAAAAUUAAGCCUGACAUACUUACCUACUUAAUUGUGUUAAAAUUUGUGUCAAUAUGGUAGUUUUUAUUAAAAUUAUUUCAGCAAAUAUAGUUAAUUUUUUUGCCAUAUUGUUUCGAUAUAUUUAAAUAAAAGUUUUAUUUCCUAGUUUUUAUAUCCCCGUGCGUCUUUUUAAUAGUAGUUGAAGCACUAUAUAAUAUUUGUAUAAUCGAAAAUAUGUAUUAAAUAGGUAUUUAGCCUCCCAUAAAUAUAAUUCUUUUGAGAUUAUAAUGAUGUUCACGGGAGGGAGCUCGUAGCAGAUUGUCGCUCGGUAUUAUCGGAUUGCACAGAUUUAAUUAUAUGACGGAAUAUUUUCUUAAAUUGUCUGUCCCAUCGUGUGUGCAAAUAUCUAUAUUGUCGUUUUUCUUCCCUUAAUUAAAUUGUUUGAUUUUGUAUAGCUGUUUUUUUCUAGCGUGUCCAAUUUUGUAUAUCUGAAUUUUAUCAUUAAUUGUGUAUUAUUUUUCAAUGAUAUUUAUAUUUAUUUAGUUUGCCCAGUUAUAAAAGUUUAUCAAUGCUCACUUUGUAUAUGCAACUUGAGCGCGCGUGACGAUUACGGAAGGGGUGCCCAUUACUGCCCAUACAGUUAUUUAAUUACAGUUUUGAUGGCGUAAAUAUAAACACUUCUAAAUUUAAUGAUUAAUAUUCUUCUAAGUAGUGUUUCGGGGAGCUAUCUCCUAUUUUUUUCCAUACCUAUUCGCUACCAGCGAUAAUAAGAGGCCCUGAUGGAUAGGUAAGUUCACGGGAUCAACCUGAGAGAAUUUGCUAACACGAACCCUAGCAAGAGCAGUGCUUCGCAGAAUCUACCACCGGAUCGGAAACGUGACCCACUAAAAAGAUCCGGCGAGAAAAUCAGUGGGCUAGCUACCUGCGCAAACAUCACUAGACGCAUUAUUUAAAAUUAUAAGCUUUGGUAGGUACCUAUUGAGGGCAGUGAGUUUUAAAAUGUUCUGUUUUAUAAAGGAAACAUAAUAUUAUUGUUCAACAUUUUAACACAUUUGUCGAUUUUCUUAAUAUUGCUAUGACUCAGUGAUAUCGUCACAAAAACUCGUUUACAUAACGAUAAACCAGGCGGCAACGAAGGAACAAGGUUGAAUCGACAGGUUAGUACACGUCGCUACGAGUGCCUGUGUGUCCGUGCUCGUAUAUACGUAUAUAACAACACAAACACAAAUUUGUCGCACGGGAGACAGGAUGUCGCACACAAUGAAAUUCUCGUGCUGCUAUCUGAAUUGCUCACUCAUUCGUAAAGUGUAAGCACAGAAUAAUUCAGUGUAACCCGUAGGUAUACUAACAACUAUGCUUCUAUGUUACUAGGUAUUCGUUUAAUUCAAACUUUUACCCAUAUACGAUGAAUAAGGUUAAUAUGUAUGUUCAUUGACAGACAUGAGUCGUCUAUUAUCAAAGGUGGCAAUCUGUGCAUUUGGACAAAAAAAAUUUAUUGAUAUGUCAAUACAGAUUGAUUUGAAUAUAAUCGUCUCCUUCAAAGAAUACGGUUCAAAACCUGCAUUAAAUAAAGGUUAAUAGUUAACCUGUUAUUUAUCUAAGAUGUCGUUCCGAAGAGUUUCGUGACUGCCAAUGGAAUACAAAGUCAAUAAUUCGUUUUUCUGAUUUACCAAUCAUUGUCCAAAAGUCAGAUUGCCGGCUUUGAUAAUAGUUGACUCACAUGUUAAAAUCAUAAUUAUCAUAGAACAUAUUUGUAUUAAUUAAGUAUAUGAAUUAUACCUUCUGAUGGUUCGAAGAUCUCACAUGAUAAUUACACGAUUCAGUAGGCUUUCCAGGUAUUAAUCAGAAGAUAUGUAUGUGUAGGUGGCUGUUCCGUCUUCCUAUAACUACUAUUAAUUUACACUAGUAAAGUUACUAAUUUUUUUUUUUUAUUGCCUUUGUAGGCAGACGAGCAUAUGGCCCACCUGAUGGUGAGUGGUUACCGUCGUCCAUGGACUUGAGCAAUGCCAAGGGCAGAGCCAAGCCGCUGCCUACCGCAAUACUAGUUUUCCAUUAUCUGUUCGUAGCAGUGUAUCUUUUACUAAGCCCACCUUUAAUUUCUAGGUAGCUAUUCGUAUACAAAGCCAACCUAUACAAAGUCACCUAACAAGUAUAUGCUUGUAAGUAGUAUUUGAAAAAUAUUUUUAUGACGUAGUACUAGUUUAACUGUUCAAUAAUCUGCAUAUUUUUAAAACUAAAACUUAUUUUUAGAAUAAAUAUUGAAAUCCAGAUUCCGUUUUAAUACUUGGAAUACAUUAAAUAAAUACUGCAAUUCACAGUGUCAGUUCCUAAAAUGUACUUCCACGAAUUAUUCUUAAUUUUUUUAUUUGAUUAACUCAAAUAAGCUUAAAUAUACUUAUUUUUAUUAACGAUGAUUCAAAUAGUACCUACCUACUUGAGAAACGUAUUGAAAUAAAAAAUGUGCAGAUAAUUGGGUUUAUUCAAACUGCUUAAAUAAAAUAAAGCGCAAUAAAUGUUUCCUGGGUGACAGGUUUGGAGUCGUUGUUUUCGUAAAAUGUUAAAAUAAAUAAAUAAACUUACCUACAUUUGUGGGCCCGGACCGUGAGAUCAUGCCAUUGAUAAAUACUGGCCACAGAGUCCGAGCUAAAAGGGAAAUUGUGUUGGAAUGUCUGCUGCGGUUAGGGUUGCUGUCACUCCAAUGCUCUUCGAGCACUACUAACGACCUCUUAAUAACAAUUAAGUAUUCUAAACCUUUUUUGGAAUGAAAUACCUACGCAGUGGAUUUUUAAAUAAAAGUUAUUUUUUUGCAUUUUCUAGGUACGUAUAUAUUGAUAUCCCUGAAAAAUCAAACUAGAUAAUAAAUUUACGAAGCAUAUUUAAGGUAUUUUUAAAUUAGUUUAAUAUUUAGAUUAAACAGAAGUUGAAAACUAAAUGUUAUGUGUAUGCACAUAAAUGUGGAAAAAAAAAAGAUAAAUGUUAAAGUUUGAAUUUUAAUAUAUCUAGUGACAUCCCUGCAUGCUGAAUGAUGUACUCCCACUCACUACAGAGACUCGGUUGACGACAAACCUUGUAAUUCUUAAUCUAAAGCACUGUAUCCUAACAUGGUAAAUACAUCCUGUUUAUAAUGAUAUCAUACGUGUUACACUGUAAAUGAUAGCUGCUCGACCCAAACUAUGGGCAUGGCGCGAACUUUAAAUGUCCCACGCAAGAAAGAUAAAAAUGCAAUAGCCUUAGGCUCGUAACAUCAACUGUAGUUUAAGCCAAAAUCAAAAGUUUAAGCGAUCACUGGCGAUCAAUUCGUAAUUUCAAUAAUAGAUAAACUCUCUUUCGGAGUUAAAACUACCUCAAAGUUUAAGCAGGCUACGAAGGAGCAACAAAACUGUGAAAUUGGACUUAGCCGUUCUUUUCAAAAUGGCCGCUCACAAUCAACAGCUGUUGUUUUGUGACAGACUCACUAAAUAGAUAGGUACAUCUAUGAACAUGUUCUUAAACUUUUUAUUAUUAUUUUGUAAUAUAUUAACGCAUUGGAUCAAUGAAUUAUUAUAUUUUCGAUUAAACUUUGUUUCCGAUCAACAUAUUUUUUGGAAAAACCUUUUCAUCAAUAAUGUAAAAUUACAAACAAAUUUUAAUUGAACACCUUAGGUACAUAAAAAUACCACUAAAGCAUUACCGAUAAGAAAUCACAUUAAUUGUAUCAAUUACCUACCUUAGAUUUUGAUUUAAGAUAUCAACACAUUCAAUUCUUACGUUAUAUUAUAUUUCUCUGUUCUUAUUUCACUAUAUAUGUGGACUUAACCUGUAAAACUUAAAUUGUUCCACCUGCACAUCGGCAUCCUUUACCUUAUUUUUAAGUAUUUAGUCGGAAACCAUUCAGUAUCGUUUUUAUAAUACCAAAAUAAUAAAUUACAUCCCAUAACAAACGCAUGUCGGAUAUUUUCUGUAUAUUAGAAUAUACAUAUAAUUAUGUAAAUGUAAAAUAAACUGUUAUUGAUUAA
Bombyx mori (domestic silkworm) is the source of this 4724-nucleotide long non-coding RNA. RefSeq lists it as uncharacterized. NCBI's taxonomy places the organism in Eukaryota, Metazoa, Arthropoda, Insecta, Lepidoptera, Bombycidae. The record is from RefSeq and is a predicted model, not a curated record. The transcript has 2 exons.